RNAcentral lists this ribosomal RNA (2902 nucleotides) under Escherichia coli. Its description in RNAcentral is "bacterial LSU rRNA". It matches the Rfam family "Bacterial large subunit ribosomal RNA". Lineage: Bacteria; Pseudomonadati; Pseudomonadota; Gammaproteobacteria; Enterobacterales; Enterobacteriaceae. The record is from RNAcentral.
UUAAGCGACUAAGCGUACACGGUGGAUGCCCUGGCAGUCAGAGGCGAUGAAGGACGUGCUAAUCUGCGAUAAGCGUCGGUGAGGUGAUAUGAACCGUUAUAACCGGCGAUUUCCGAAUGGGGAAACCCAGUGUGUUUCGACACACUAUCAUUAACUGAAUCCAUAGGUUAAUGAGGCGAACCGGGGGAACUGAAACAUCUAAGUACCCCGAGGAAAAGAAAUCAACCGAGAUUCCCCCAGUAGCGGCGAGCGAACGGGGAGGAGCCCAGAGCCUGAAUCAGUGUGUGUGUUAGUGGAAGCGUCUGGAAAGGCGCGCGAUACAGGGUGACAGCCCCGUACACAAAAAUGCACAUAUUGUGAGCUCGAUGAGUAGGGCGGGACACGUGGUAUCCUGUCUGAAUAUGGGGGGACCAUCCUCCAAGGCUAAAUACUCCUGACUGACCGAUAGUGAACCAGUACCGUGAGGGAAAGGCGAAAAGAACCCCGGCGAGGGGAGUGAAAAAGAACCUGAAACCGUGUACGUACAAGCAGUGGGAGCCUCUUAAUGGGGUGACUGCGUACCUUUUGUAUAAUGGGUCAGCGACUUAUAUUCUGUAGCAAGGUUAACCGAAUAGGGGAGCCGAAGGGAAACCGAGUCUUAACUGGGCGUUAAGUUGCAGGGUAUAGACCCGAAACCCGGUGAUCUAGCCAUGGGCAGGUUGAAGGUUGGGUAACACUAACUGGAGGACCGAACCGACUAAUGUUGAAAAAUUAGCGGAUGACUUGUGGCUGGGGGUGAAAGGCCAAUCAAACCGGGAGAUAGCUGGUUCUCCCCGAAAGCUAUUUAGGUAGCGCCUCGUGAAUUCAUCUCCGGGGGUAGAGCACUGUUUCGGCAAGGGGGUCAUCCCGACUUACCAACCCGAUGCAAACUGCGAAUACCGGAGAAUGUUAUCACGGGAGACACACGGCGGGUGCUAACGUCCGUCGUGAAGAGGGAAACAACCCAGACCGCCAGCUAAGGUCCCAAAGUCAUGGUUAAGUGGGAAACGAUGUGGGAAGGCCCAGACAGCCAGGAUGUUGGCUUAGAAGCAGCCAUCAUUUAAAGAAAGCGUAAUAGCUCACUGGUCGAGUCGGCCUGCGCGGAAGAUGUAACGGGGCUAAACCAUGCACCGAAGCUGCGGCAGCGACACUAUGUGUUGUUGGGUAGGGGAGCGUUCUGUAAGCCUGUGAAGGUGGCCUGUGAGGGUUGCUGGAGGUAUCAGAAGUGCGAAUGCUGACAUAAGUAACGAUAAAGCGGGUGAAAAGCCCGCUCGCCGGAAGACCAAGGGUUCCUGUCCAACGUUAAUCGGGGCAGGGUGAGUCGACCCCUAAGGCGAGGCCGAAAGGCGUAGUCGAUGGGAAACAGGUUAAUAUUCCUGUACUUGGUGUUACUGCGAAGGGGGGACGGAGAAGGCUAUGUUGGCCGGGCGACGGUUGUCCCGGUUUAAGCGUGUAGGCUGGUUUUCCAGGCAAAUCCGGAAAACCAAGGCUGAGGCGUGAUGACGAGGCACUACGGUGCUGAAGCGACAAAUGCCCUGCUUCCAGGAAAAGCCUCUAAGCAUCAGGUAACAUCAAAUCGUACCCCAAACCGACACAGGUGGUCAGGUAGAGAAUACCAAGGCGCUUGAGAGAACUCGGGUGAAGGAACUAGGCAAAAUGGUGCCGUAACUUCGGGAGAAGGCACGCUGAUAUGUAGGUGAAGCGACUUGCUCGUGGAGCUGAAAUCAGUCGAAGAUACCAGCUGGCUGCAACUGUUUAUUAAAAACACAGCACUGUGCAAACACGAAAGUGGACGUAUACGGUGUGACGCCUGCCCGGUGCCGGAAGGUUAAUUGAUGGGGUUAGCGGCAACGCGAAGCUCUUGAUCGAAGCCCCGGUAAACGGCGGCCGUAACUAUAACGGUCCUAAGGUAGCGAAAUUCCUUGUCGGGUAAGUUCCGACCUGCACGAAUGGCGUAAUGAUGGCCAGGCUGUCUCCACCCGAGACUCAGUGAAAUUGAACUCGCUGUGAAGAUGCAGUGUACCCGCGGCAAGACGGAAAGACCCCGUGAACCUUUACUAUAGCUUGACACUGAACAUUGAGCCUUGAUGUGUAGGAUAGGUGGGAGGCUUUGAAGUGUGGACGCCAGUCUGCAUGGAGCCGACCUUGAAAUACCACCCUUUAAUGUUUGAUGUUCUAACGUUGGCCCCUAAUCGGGGUUGCGGACAGUGUCUGGUGGGUAGUUUGACUGGGGCGGUCUCCUCCUAAAGAGUAACGGAGGAGCACGAAGGUUGGCUAAUCCUGGUCGGACAUCAGGAGGUUAGUGCAAUGGCAUAAGCCAGCUUGACUGCGAGCGUGACGGCGCGAGCAGGUGCGAAAGCAGGUCAUAGUGAUCCGGUGGUUCUGAAUGGAAGGGCCAUCGCUCAACGGAUAAAAGGUACUCCGGGGAUAACAGGCUGAUACCGCCCAAGAGUUCAUAUCGACGGCGGUGUUUGGCACCUCGAUGUCGGCUCAUCACAUCCUGGGGCUGAAGUAGGUCCCAAGGGUAUGGCUGUUCGCCAUUUAAAGUGGUACGCGAGCUGGGUUUAGAACGUCGUGAGACAGUUCGGUCCCUAUCUGCCGUGGGCGCUGGAGAACUGAGGGGGGCUGCUCCUAGUACGAGAGGACCGGAGUGGACGCAUCACUGGUGUUCGGGUUGUCAUGCCAAUGGCACUGCCCGGUAGCUAAAUGCGGAAGAGAUAAGUGCUGAAAGCAUCUAAGCACGAAACUUGCCCCGAGAUGAGUUCUCCCUGAGACUUAGAGUCUCCUGAAGGAACGUUGAAGACGACGACGUUGAUAGGCCGGGUGUGUAAGCGCAGCGAUGCGUUGAGCUAACCGGUACUAAUGAACCGUGAGGCUUAACCUU